AGAGUUUGAUCCUGGCUUAGGAUGAACGCUAGCUACAGGCCUAACACAUGCAAGUCGAGGGGCAGCAUGGGAGAAGCUUGCUUUUCCUGAUGGCGACCGGCGAAUGGGUGAGUCACGCGUGUCCAACCUGCCUUCAGCCCGGGGAUAGCCCUUGGAAAUGAGGAUUAAGACCCGAUAGAUGGAAGUUCCGCAUGGCGCUUCCAUGAAACUGGACUGAAGAUGGGGACGCGUCGGGUUAGCUUGACGGCGGGGCAACGGCCCACCGUGGCGACGAUCCGCAGGGGUUCUGAGAGGAAGGUCCCCCACACUGGCACUGAGGCACGGGCCAGACUCCUACGGGAGGCAGCAGUGAGGAAUAUUGGUCAAUGGCCGAGAGGCUGAACCAGCCAAGUAGCCGUGCAGGAUGACGGCCCUACGGGUUGUAAACUGCUUUUGCGGGAGGAUAAAAGACGCCACGUGUGGCGUUUUGCAGGUAUCCCGUGAAUAAGGACCGGCUAAUUCCGUGCCAGCAGCGGC
RNAcentral lists this ribosomal RNA (516 nucleotides) under uncultured bacterium. RNAcentral describes it as "bacterial SSU rRNA". It matches the Rfam family "Bacterial small subunit ribosomal RNA", at positions 8 to 518 of the family's 1533-position model. The record is from RNAcentral.